GCCCAGAAAUGGACCGAGCGGACCCACAGCCGCACGCACCCUGCUCCACUCCAAGCUCCUAAAGGCUCCCGGCGCGCCGCGUAGCCUUGGCGAGGUCCGCGCUGGGGUGCGGAGAGCGAAGGGAACUGGAGAGCCAUGUAGAUCCAGGCUCUUGCCCGCCCGCCUCCUUCGGGAUCGAAUCAAGGGCUCCCAUAGUGUUAGGAGGGGGCGAGAGUGCUGUUUAUCGUCAUUUGCCUCGGAGCUUCGGGAGAGGGUGGUAUUUUGCUUUUCCGCCCCGCAUCCUCCGGAACUCCCUGCACCGGAGAGAGGACGGCGUCUCCAGGUUGCUGGCAACCGGUGAGAAUGGGGGUAGGGAAUGAACAUUUUCGCCGUAGCUGCUCGGUAAAGCGAUUGUCCAACUGAGAGGGGCGUCGGACGAGUGGACCAGGGCGGCGAGUUUGCCCGGCGCGUCUCGGACGCUGCUGCGGUGGCCGCCGCGGCUCCCGCCAGGGCACUGCAAAGGCGACCUGCCGCAUUCCCACGCGGGCUCUCCGCCGACUCAGCACCGCCCCUGCGCCAAGCCAGCCGGCCAGCCCAGCCCUGGCAUUAGCCACAACAAGAAGAUGAAGACGCAGGCCCUGCUUGCAAGGAUCCUGUGACAUUAUUCCACCUCAAACCCCUAACCUCUGUGGACUUGGGUUUUCUGGCUUCAUCCUGGGCAGUCUGACCAAGCCCUGGCAUUCCCAGGCCACAUCCACCUGCCUUGGCAUCCUGUCCGCAGCCACCCUGCCUUCCUUGGAUGUGGCCAACAGACAUGUGUCAUGGCGAAUGUGCCAGAGCAACUGGGAGCUACUCAGAGAGGAACUCAAUGAAGAUGAGAUCAUUUUACCUCCCCCACAGUUCCCUAGCAAAUCUCAGCGUUGAGCCGCUGUGCUAACUCCAGAGAGAGUGCACUUAUUGGUAACUAACUGCUUUGUUUACCAUUCACAGUGGCUCUGAAAAGCCUACCUCUUGGGUGGUAGAUAUGGAGUGAACAAUGUUACUGUGAUGAAAUGACACAGUGACAGCCUGGAGGUCAUGCAACCUAGAGGACCUAGACUGGGACCCUGUUCUAGAUACUUCAUUUCACAGGUAACCUAGAGAACCUAGACUGGGACCCUGUUCUAGAUACUUCAUUUCACAGGUAAAGACACUGAGACCCAGAAAAAUGAUCUUUCUUGUUGUGUAAUGAGAGGCCAAGCUGGUGCGAGUCCAGGAGCCCCAUUUCUCUGGCCCAUCCUCCUUUCCUAUCCCUACCCCGGUUUCCUUCCCACCAGUUGAUGCUGCAGGGACCCCCCAAUUCCACAGUCAAGCCUAAACUUUGCCCCAAGACAUUGAACUUCUUCCCUUCCCAGACUGGUCUUGUGAAAUAUUCAGAAAUAGGAAAUUGGCUUGACUGGUGACUUUCCUUCCCUUCCCAAUUCAGUUCAGGAAACAGUAAACUGAAACAAGAAUAAAUAAAAGAAAUAGGGAAGAGAAGACAAUAGUAAUCAGAACUAUUUCUUGACUGUGAAAAGGCUGUAAUGAAAUAAGGAAAUAAGAUCCCUUAAGAAUUCUACUGGCCAGACACAGUGGCUGCUCACACCUACAAUGCCAGCACUUUGGGAGACAGAGUGCAGUACAUUGCUUGAAUGCAGGAGUUCAAGAGCAGCCUGAGCAACAGGGCAAAACUCUGUUUCCAAAAAAAAAAAAAAAAAAAAAAAAAAAUUAGCCUCAGUUAUUCAGGAGGCUGAGGUGGGAGGGUCACCUGAGCCUGGGAGGUCAAGGCUACAGUGAGCUGAGAUCACGCCACUACACAUCCAGCC
RNAcentral lists this small RNA (1823 nucleotides) under Pongo abelii (Sumatran orangutan). Its description in RNAcentral is "sense overlapping". Lineage: Eukaryota; Metazoa; Chordata; Mammalia; Primates; Hominidae. The record is from RNAcentral.